RNAcentral lists this ribosomal RNA (253 nucleotides) under uncultured bacterium. RNAcentral's name for it is "partial 16S ribosomal RNA". It matches the Rfam family "Bacterial small subunit ribosomal RNA", at positions 524 to 776 of the family's 1533-position model. The record is from RNAcentral.
UACGUAGGGUGCAAGCGUUGUCCGGAAUUAUUGGGCGUAAAGAGCUCGUAGGCGGUCUGUCGCGUCGGCUGUGAAAUCCCGGGGCUCAACUCCGGGUCUGCAGUCGAUACGGGCAGACUGGAGUUCGGCAGGGGAGACUGGAAUUCCUGGUGUAGCGGUGAAAUGCGCAGAUAUCAGGAGGAACACCGGUGGCGAAGGCGGGUCUCUGGGCCGAUACUGACGCUGAGGAGCGAAAGCGUGGGGAGCAAACAGG